This 113-nucleotide ribosomal RNA is filed under the name uncultured eukaryote. Its description in RNAcentral is "partial small subunit ribosomal RNA". It matches the Rfam family "Eukaryotic small subunit ribosomal RNA", at positions 1675 to 1805 of the family's 1831-position model. The record is from RNAcentral.
GUCGCUCAUACCGAUGGACUUCUCUGUGAGUUUGAGGGACUGGAUUUUAUAUCUAUGGAAACUCAAACGAACAGUGUGGUCUAAAGGAAAGAGAAGUCGUAACAAGGCAUCGG